AUACGGAGGAUGCGAGCGUUAUCCGGAUUUAUUGGGUUUAAAGGGUGCGCAGGCGGCGAGUCAAGUCAGCGGUCAAACUGCGGCGCUCAACGCCGUACCGCCGUUGAAACUGGCGCGCUCGAGUUUGUGCGAGGAUGGCGGAAUGCGCAGUGUAGCGGUGAAAUGCAUAGAUAUUGCGCAGAACUCCGAUUGCGAAGGCAGCUGUCCAGCACACUACUGACGCUCAUGCACGAAAGCGUGGGUAUCGAACAGGAUUAGAUACUUUGGUAGUCCACGCGGUAAACGAUGAUAACUAGUUAUCCGGCCAGAUUGAUGGUUGGGUGACCGAGCGAAAGCGUUAAGUUAUCCACCUGGGGAGUACGCCGGCAACGGUGAAACUCAAAUGAAUUGGCGGGG
This 396-nucleotide ribosomal RNA is filed under the name uncultured bacterium. RNAcentral describes it as "partial 16S ribosomal RNA". It matches the Rfam family "Bacterial small subunit ribosomal RNA", at positions 523 to 918 of the family's 1533-position model. The record is from RNAcentral.